UUAAAACUUUAUUUACAGUUGUUCUUCAAGAUAUAAGUUAGUAUAAAAUUAUAAAAACAAGUAUUAUAAUGACUAGUUAUUAUUUUACAUUUGUAUUUGCUACAUUUUUAUUUAUAUUACAUACUUUUGUGUAGUAGACACAAUACUUACUAAAAAAUAUAAACACCAUAAUAUUUAAGUAUCAAUAUAUGUAACAAUAAUGAAAUCAAAAUAAAAGGGGUGCUGUUUUAUUAUAUGUUACCCAAUUAUGAAAGAGCUAAUUUUCAAAUUUUGCUUUCUCAUUUUUUGGACUAUCUGUGGUGGUAAUAAAACGCAGUUAUGAUCAAAAAUGUUAUUUUUUCAUCAAAAAUUUUAAUAAAGAAUAUGUCAUAUCUGCAUGUGCUAUCUCAGUACAACUAACGGGCAAUAUAGCAAAAUCUACCUUACGCAGACUGUAAAGCUCGUUUAAUUUUAGUUUUAAAGUAAAAUAAUCACCUUUUAUAAAAUUAAAAGAAAACAAUAUUGCGGAAGACAAGGCGGCACCUAUUAUUCUAGUUAUUAUUCCAAAUAUAACACUCAAUACAUCAUUUAGAAAUAAAGACUAAUUUAUCAUUUUAAAAUUACUGCAACAUUUCAAAAAAGAAAUUUUAAAAUAGAAACUUAUAAUUUUACUCUUCAGAUUGUUGUCUUCUGUUAAUUUUUACUAAAGGUGCCUUUAUUAUAAAACCAAAAUUAAGCAAGUUCUACACAGUCUACAUAAGAUAGAUUUUACUAUAUUUCCCAUUAAUUGGACUAAUUAGUUGCAUGGUUAGUUACACAAAUGAGUAACAAUUUCUUAAAAAUAAAAUGAAAUAAAAUAAUUAUUAAUAAUAAUUAAUUUAUAUAAUUAGGAGAUAUUGUGAAACGAGUAUCUUUGUAAAUACACUGGAGCUUAAAUUAUAAAAAAAAAACAAAAUAAAUAACCCGUUAGGUAGGUAACACCAAACAUAAAUAAAGGUAUGGCUUCAAGGCCAUACCUAUAUCUGUGUUGAACUAUUUUUCUACCUUAACUCAAAAUUCUCAAAUUUUUUAAUACAAUUUUUAUAUCAUAUGUAAUCUGAAAGUUUGCUAACUACUACAAAUAUGGAAAAAGAUUAAAUUAUUUUCCAAUGGCAGAAAAUAACCUUUUUUAGUAAAUUAAAUAAAUUAUUUAAUUCUUAAGUUAAAACAAUUUUGAAAAAUUAAAUAAAUUAUUUAAUUCUUAAGUUAAAACAAUUUUGAAAAAUUAAAAUUUCUUUUAAAAAAUUAAUUUGUUAAAAUUACCUAUUUGCAGCCUCUAAAAUACUGCAUGGUCAGGAUUUUGACGGGUCCCAUCAAUAAAGUUACCAUUUUUUUUUUUUUAGCAUUGAUUUUGGAAAGUUUUUAAAUUUUUUUAGAGUAUUAAAAACCCUUAGAAGUUUAGAAGCAUAUCAAACAUUAAAUAGUAGGUAAACAAAUAAUACUAAUUUAUGUAUUUUUUGAUUCUGAAAACAGUUAUAAUUUUCAUAAUACUAUACAGAGUGAUCAAUCUAUUGUAACACUCAUUAUCUUGGAAAGUAUAAACUUUUUUCGGAGUUCAUUUUAUAAAGAAUUUAAGAACCUCUUUAGCUCGAGAGAUUUUAAAAUGUUGUGUUCUUUAACUAAAAAAUAUAUAAUAAUAUAUUAAUACAGCUUAAAUAUAAUUUAGAAUAUUUCGAUAUUCGGUAUUAGGUACCUUGGUUUGUCCCAGUAAUUGGCAUGUGUAUUUUGCAUUAUCUGACAAAUUUUAAUCUUGAUAGUAUAUUAAUAUACAACAAAGUAAAAUAUACCAAUUCAUAUUUUAAUAGAUUUUAAAUUUAAAUAGAUAUUUUGUUAUUUUAUGUUUGAUGGACAAUAAAUUGGGAUGAUAGAUACCUAAUUAAUACUGUAGAAAAAAUAAAAAUAAGUAAAACAAAAUAUUAUCAAUGUCUUAGCUAUUUGUGGUUAAUUAACUUUAACAUAAACAUACUGUAAACAAAUUUAUUGGUGUGUACUUUUCUUCAAAUAGUAUGUAUAUAAAUUAUGAGUAGAAACCGGAUUUAUAUUCUCUUAUAAUCUACAAAAAGGGGCUUUAAAACAUCAAAAAAUCUCUGAAAAAAGCAUUUACAAACAUUUAAAAAAGCAAAAAUUAUAGAGGUUCUUAAAAGUCUCUCCACUAAUGGAUUUAACUUAUUAAAUUAAAUUUUCUAACACUACAAAGUUGAUACAAAAUAAUCUUUAAAAUAAAACUGUAUGUAUUAUAAAAAAAAAAUUACAUUUCAUUAAUCAUUUUUGUGGUGUUAGAAAAUUGUAUUUAUAAAUUAAAUCCAUUAGAGGGAGGACUAUUAAACCCUUCUAUAUUUUUUUUGUUUUUAUGUAUUUUUUUCAAAGCUUUUGGUGUUUUCAAGUGUUUUUUUGGAUUUUAAGAACAUAUAAAUCUGGUAUCAAAACUAUUAGUAAGUAUAAAAAAUAAAAUUUACUUGUUUUUGAAAAAUCAGGCUUCACUGAGGCAGGAAAAAAAUAUCUCUAUACUUAACAAUUGGCCAAGAAAAUUUAACAAAUACAAUGAUUAUAUUAAUGUGUGUAUGUUGUAAUAAUUACACAACAUAUUUUUUUAUAUCAAAAGUUUAUAAAAGAAUUUCAAAUUGUUUUAUUAAUAAUUAUUACCUAUAAUAUAUUACAGACCCAUUUUGCAUUCUAACUGUGUGACUGCAUAGGGCGAUGGACAACGAAUAGGUUAUUGACUAUUAGUCGACUUAUUUAUCCCAUAAGGGAUACAGCAAGUAGCAAGAGUGACUUCGGGCAGGCUAACAUACACCUCCACACAAGAAGAAUGGGAAAAUAAUCUCCCAACUAACAGGAAUUUAGUUAAUGAUGUUCAAUUCCACUCAGCCAGGAUUGCCCCUCCCACACAGAAUAAUGACUAAACCGAAUUCGUACAGGGCAAGGCCGGUAUAACCAUCUAAUGCACAAAUGGCACAUAAAAGAGAAUCUAAGAUGUAACUGCGGAGCGGAAGCACAAACAAUGUACCACAUAGUAAUGGAAUGUGAAAAUAGGUUUAAUGGAACUUUUAAAGAUCUACAUGCAAUGACGACAAUGCACUACAAUGACU
Molecule: non-coding RNA, 3107 nt
Organism: Cinara cedri
Lineage: Eukaryota; Metazoa; Arthropoda; Insecta; Hemiptera; Aphididae
Source: the annotation of a GenBank genome assembly